This 429-nucleotide ribosomal RNA is filed under the name Gemmatimonadota bacterium. RNAcentral's name for it is "Gemmatimonadetes bacterium partial 16S ribosomal RNA". It matches the Rfam family "Bacterial small subunit ribosomal RNA", at positions 355 to 776 of the family's 1533-position model. Lineage: Bacteria; Pseudomonadati; Gemmatimonadota. The record is from RNAcentral.
UAGGGAAUCUUCGGCAAUGGACGAAAGUCUGACCGAGCAACGCCGCGUGAGUGAAGAAGGUUUUCGGAUCGUAAAACUCUGUUGUUUGAGAAGAACAAGGACGUUAGUAACUGAACGUCCCCUGACGGUAUCUAACCAGAAAGCCACGGCUAACUACGUGCCAGCAGCCGCGGUAAUACGUAGGUGGCAAGCGUUGUCCGGAUUUAUUGGGCGUAAAGCGAGCGCAGGCGGUUUCUUAAGUCUGAUGUGAAAGCCCCCGGCUCAACCGGGGAGGGUCAUUGGAAACUGGGAGACUUGAGUGCAGAAGAGGAGAGUGGAAUUCCAUGUGUAGCGGUGAAAUGCGUAGAUAUAUGGAGGAACACCAGUGGCGAAGGCGGCUCUCUGGUCUGUAACUGGCGCUGAGGCUCGAAAGCGUGGGGAGCAAACAGG